Molecule: small RNA, 438 nt
Filed under: Mycosphaerella sp. 1509c FbLB
Lineage: Eukaryota; Fungi; Ascomycota; Dothideomycetes; Mycosphaerellales; Mycosphaerellaceae
Description: eukaryotic LSU rRNA
Rfam family: 5.8S ribosomal RNA (bases 140-290)
Source: RNAcentral
AGCCCCCGGGAGUCCAUAACCCUUUGUUGGCCGACUCUGUUGCCUCCGGGGCGACCCUGCCUUCGGGCGGGGGCUCCGGGUGGACACUUCCAACUCUUGAGUAACUUUGCAAUCUGAGUAAACUUAAUUUAUAAAUUAGAACUUUUAAACGGAUCUCUUGGAUCAGGCCUCCAUGAAGAACUCAGCGAAAUGCGAUAAGUAAUGUGAAUUGCAGAAUUCACUGUAUCCUCGAAUCUUUGAACGCACAUUGCGCCCCCUGGUAUUCCGGGGGGCAUGCCUGUUCAGCGUCAUUUCACCACUCAAGCCUCGCUUGGUAUUGGGCAACGCGGGCCGCCGCGUGCCUCCAAUCGACCGGCUGGGUCUUCUGUCCCCUAACCGUUGAGGAAACUAUUCGCUAAGGGUGUCGGGAGGCUACCGAAAACAAACCCAUUUCUAACG